This 992-nucleotide ribosomal RNA is filed under the name uncultured bacterium. RNAcentral's name for it is "bacterial SSU rRNA". It matches the Rfam family "Bacterial small subunit ribosomal RNA", at positions 9 to 973 of the family's 1533-position model. The record is from RNAcentral.
GAGUUUGAUCCUGGCUCAGAAUGAACGCUGGCGGCGUGCUUAACACAUGCAAGUCGGACGAGAAAGGCUGAUUUCGGUUGGCCGAGUAAAGUGGCGCACGGGUGAGUAACGCGUAGGCAACCUGCCCUUGUAUUUGGGAUAACAGAGCGAAAGUUCUGCUAAUACCGGAUGAGAUCCCUUGGCGGGAGUUGGGGGAUGAAAGUCGGCCUCUUCUUUGAAAGCUGACGUACGGGGAUGGGCCUGCGUCCUAUCAGCUAGUUGGUGGGGUAACGGCCUACCAAGGCGACGACGGGUAGCUGGUCUGAGAGGAUGAUCAGCCACACUGGCACUGGAACACGGGCCAGACUCCUACGGGAGGCAGCAGUGAGGAAUUUUGCGCAAUGGCCGCAAGGCUGACGCAGCAACGCCGCGUGGGUGAUGAAGGCCUUCGGGUCGUAAAGCCCUGUCAGGUGGGAAGAAAGGCUUGGUUGGGAAUACCGAUUGAGUUUGACGGUACCACCAGAGGAAGCACCGGCUAACUCCGUGCCAGCAGCCGCGGUAAUACGGAGGGUGCGAGCGUUAUUCGGAAUUAUUGGGCGUAAAGCGCGUGUAGGCGGGGGAGCAAGUCUGAUGUGAAAGCCCUGGGCUUAACCCGGGAAGGGCAUUGGAAACUGUUUCUCUUGAGUACUGGAGAGGAAGGGGGAAUUCCCGGUGUAGAGGUGAAAUUCGUAGAGAUCGGGAGGAAUACCAGUGGCGUAGGCGCCUUUCUGGACGGCUACUGACGCUGAGACGCGAAAGCGUGGGGAGCAAACAGGAUUAGAUACCCUGGUAGUCCACGCUGUAAACGAUGAUCACUAGGUGUAGCGGGUACUCAUUCCUGCUGUGCCGUAGCUAACGCGUUAAGUGAUCCGCCUGGGGAUUACGGUCGCAAGACUAAAACUCAAAGGAAUUGACGGGGGCCCGCACAAGCGGUGGAGUAUGUGGUUUAAUUCGACGCAACGCGAAGAACCUUA